Molecule: transfer RNA, 72 nt
Filed under: Marmota marmota marmota (Alpine marmot)
Lineage: Eukaryota; Metazoa; Chordata; Mammalia; Rodentia; Sciuridae
Also listed under: 1 other name
Rfam family: tRNA
About the family: Transfer RNA (tRNA) molecules are approximately 80 nucleotides in length. Their secondary structure includes four short double-helical elements and three loops (D, anti-codon, and T loops).
Source: Rfam by way of RNAcentral
UGGGAUGUAGCUCAGUGGUAGAUCACUUGCCUGAUAUGCCUGAGGCCCUGGGUUCACUUCACAGCAUCACAA